GACAACUCUAUCAUGUCAUUGGGAUCCAUUCUUAGAGCUUUAGCCAUUAGGUCAAGGAUUUUCAAGGUAAGAUUUUUAAGCCUCGUUAAGUAAACUUCCAAGUCAUCUCUGCAUGCAAAUAACGAUAUAUAGUCCAUUAAUUAUCAUAUGAUAGAGUAUACUAUGCAGCAAAACUCUACGAUUUAAAUAUAGAACCUGAAUGGGAGAGGCAACUUGGGGAACAAGUGGGGUUUCCUCAGAUGGGUUGGGAGAGUGAACAUAGUAAAGCCGUAUCCCCAAUCAAGCUUCUGCUCUUCAGACGUAAUAAAAAACUGCCCAAAUCCCUCAAUAUCUUCUAGCUGCUGCCAAAAUAUUGGGAACAUGUGCAUAGAGCAACUAACAUGUGCAUGUGCAGUAACUAACGUGUGCAUAGAGUAACUAAUGUGUGCAUGUGCAGUAACUGUUGUAAUAUUCUCUUUGUAUAGCAUUUGUAUUCCAUUAAGAAUAGAAUUAGCAACUUUUGUAUUCCAUUAGGAAUAGAAGGAGCAUAUUUAGGAGACUAUUUAGAGAUUUCGUAGCUAUCUUUGAUUUUAUGGUAUAGGUGUAUAUAUGAAUAACCGUGUGAUAUACAAUAAACAUACAGAUUUCUUCCCCUCUCACAAAUGUUUUCAUAGUAUCAGAGCCUUGAGCCGAACCUUCUAAUAAAUCAAAAUUUUUCCAUAGCCGGCGCUGAAGCUAAGCACCAUGGCUGAAAGGGAAAAGGAAAACUGAAAUAUGAUAGAUUCAUCUUCACUUUAUUAUCUUCAUCCCUCUGAUCAUACGGGCAUGAUUAUAUCCCCGGUGAAAUUAAAUGGUGAGAAUUAUAAAGAGUGGUCACGCUCGAUGCGUAAUGCAUUUCGGGCAAGAAGAAAACAAUCGUUUUUGAAUGGCAAGAUUGAGAAACCUGCCGAAGAUGCUCCUGAAAUUGAAGAUUGGUGGAGUGUGAAUUCAAUGCUUGUAGGAUAGAUAUUUACAUCUUUUGAACUGCAUAUUCGUUCAACAAUCACCUACUAUGAUACUGUUAAGGAACUCUGGGAUGAAUUAAAAUUGAGAUUCUCAAUUGGGAAUGGACCACGGGUGCUGCAGUUGCGAUCCGAUCUGGCCAAAUGUAGACAAGAUGGGCAGACAGUAGCAACCUAUUUUGGACGUCUCAAGAUUCUGUGGGAUAAACUUAGCAACUAUGUUCAACCUCCUGUCUGCUCUUGCGGCAACUGCACUUGUAAUCUGUCGACGCAGUGGGAAAAACAAAGGGAAUAAGAACGUGUUCACCAAUUCUUGAUAGGACUUGAUGAUACGAUUUAUGGGACGGUUCGUUCUAAUAUUAUUGCUCAAGAUCCUCUUCCCUCACAAAGUCGUGCUUAUGCCUUGGUGGUACAAGAGGAAAGACAUCAAACCAUUACAAGGACAUGUGAUGUGCGUGUCGAAGCCGUGAGCUUUGCUGUCCAAGCACCUAAGGCACAACAAGGAGCUGCUGCGUCUUUUUCGAAUAAUGCAAAUGGAGAAAAAUCAGUGUGUAAACAUUGUGGCCAAACCGGUCAUGAGAUAUCAUCUUGCUUCAAGAUUAUUGGAUAUCUGGAGUGGUGGAUUGCUAAUCGUGGAAAGGGUAACAUAAGCGGACGAGGGCAGACAAAUAAUUCUGCUGGGCGUAGUAAAUCGCAUGCUGCUGUGGCUAACGCUGCUCUUAUGCAUGCUGGUGGAGGAGGAAACCAGGCUAGUCCGACUCUGUCAGCACAAGAUCGGGCUGCCCUUGCAUCUACUCUCACGGAUGAUCAAUGGGCAACUAUGGUGAAUAUGCUUAAUUCACAAAAUAAGGAUGUUUCAAAAGAAAAGCUUUCUAGUAAGUGGAUUCUUAAUACAGGGGCUUCGAGACAUAUGACAGGAAGCAGAGAAUUAAUGACUGAUCUGUAAAAUAUUGGGCCUUCGCCCAUAGGUCUUCCAAACGGCACAUGCUCUCAUGCUCAGUGCGAGGGCACUGUUGAGUUUGGAAACAAUUUGAGAUUGAAUCAUGUUCUAUAUGUACCUGAUCUUAAUUGCAAUUUAAUUUCUUUGGCUUGCUUGAUUAAUGAUUUGCAGUGCCUUGUCACUUUAACUGACAAGCUGUGUGUGAUAUAGGACCGCACUAUGAGGACUUUGAUUGGUGUGGGUGAGCAAGAAGACGGGGUCUAUAUUUUUCAGAGUCCGGCAUCAGCAAAAGUGUGUCGUGUCUCUGUAGAAGGAAAUUAUUAUCUAUGGCAUCGGCGGUUAGGUCAUGCUUCUAAUAAGAUUAUUUCUUUACUUCCUGGUGUUAGCAAAAUGGAAUGUCAGAAAUUUCGUGAUGAACCAUGUGAUAUUUGUUUUAAAGCAAAACAAACUCGAAAUGUUUUUCUUAUUAGUAUGAAUAAAGCCAAUGAUAUGUUUGCACUAGUGCAUUGUGAUGUGUGGGGUGCUUAUCGUAUUCCAUCUUCUUGUGGUACUCAUUAUUUUAUUUCCAUUGUUGAUGAUUAUUCACGAGGAGUUUGGGUUUAUUUGAUGGCACAUAAAUCUGAGGUGGCUUAAUUUUUCAAAAAUUUUGUGCUAUGGCCAAGACUCAAUUCAAUAGGCAAGUUAAAAUGGUACGAAGUGAUAACGGUACAGAAUUUAAAGUUUUGAAUUCUUUUUUUGCUGAAAAUGGCAUUAAAUUUCAAGCUUCUUGUGUGGAUACGCCUCAACAAAAUGGGUGUGUCGAACGGAAACACCGUCAUCUUCUCAAUGUUGGGCGUGCCUUAAGGUUUCAAGCCAACUUGCCUUUAAUUUUUAGGGAGAAUGUAUUUUAAGUGCUGCUUAUAUAAUUAAUGGCACUCCCACUCCUUUACUUGAUGGAAAAACUCCUUAUGAAUUAUUGCAUGGUAAGCCUCCUCCGUAUGCUCAUUUUCAUAGUUUUGGGUGUUUGUGCUAUGCUCGUUAUGUUCCUUGUGACAAGAAUAAAUUCAAUUCUAGAAGUAGGCAGUGUGUAUUUGUCGGCUAUCCCCAUGGAAAGAAAUGUUGGAGAGUCUUUGAUUUAGAAACCAAUGAAUUUUUUGUGUCCCGUGAUGUGGUGUUUUUUUAGGAUACAUUUCUGUAUCAUGAUAUCUCAUUGGAUUGCUCUCCUGCUCAUGAUCCUUACGUCACACAUGAUUCUUUACGGGUGCAACAUGUUGAGUCUCAUAUUCCUUCAUUUGGUAGUAACAGAGACGUUUCCUCCAAUGACGCUCAGGAGGAACCGAAGUCUAAUGAUAGGGGGAGCCCAUCCUCCCCUCAUGCAGUGUCCGAUUUGUCCUCUGAUUUAGCUGCCCUCCAUGACAGGGGGAGCUCUUAUUCUGAUGUUUCACUCUCUUUGCCAUCAUCUGCUAAUGAGAAUAUUGGUAUCUCUGUUCGUCGGAGUACACAGCCAAAAAUUCCCAACACUCAUUUGCGUGAUUUUGUGUGUCAUACAACUCGAGUUAUAGACCUCGCCUCCUUAUCCCCUGCACCACCACUGUCCUCAGGUAUGUCUUAUCCCAUAGCUAAUUUUGUGACUUGUGCUAAUUUUUCUGCAAAUCAUUCUCGUUUCCUAGCGGCUAUUACUACUCUUACUGAGCCCACUAGGUAUUCUGAGGCUGUAAAAGACCCUCGUUGGCGUGAAGCCAUGGCCAAGGAGAUUGACGCUCUCGAACAAAAUGAGACUUGGACACUAGCUGAUCUUCCUCCGGGCAAAAAGGCUAUUGGUUGCAAAUGGGUCUACCGCAUCAAGUACCAUUCUGAUGGCAGUAUUGAGAGGUGCAAAGCUUAACUAGUUAUCCUUGGUAAUAACCAGAUUGAAGGGGUGGAUUAUAAUGAGACUUUUGCACCAGUUGCUAAAAUGGUUUUUAUUCGAACUCUCUUAGCUGUUGUCAUUGCUCGAGAUUAGGAGUUACAUUAGAUGGAUGUACAUAACGCUUUUCUUCAUGGUGACCUUGCUGAGGAAGUGUACAUGCAACUUCCUCCAGGUUUUUCGACUACUUCUUCUAGUAAAGUAUGUCGUCUUCGUAAAUCUUUAUAUGGUCUUCGUCAAGCCCCUCGUAAUUGGUUUGCUAAGCUUGCUGGUGCCUUGAAAUCUUUUGGAUUUGACCAAUCAUAUGCCGAUUACUCUCUUUUUACAUUUGCGAGUCAUGAUAUUUCUAUUCGUGUGCUUGUUUAUGUUGAUGACUUGAUUAUUGCGGGGAAUAAUACUACUGCUAUCUCUGCUUUUAAAGCCUAUUUAAGCCGUUGUUUUCACAUGAAGGAUUUGGGUGUUCUUAAGUAUUUUCUGGGCAUCGAGAUCUCUCGAGGACCUACUGGCAUGUUCUUAUCUCAACGCAAACACACGUUGGAUAUUUUGGCUGAAACCGGUCUUCUUGGUGCAAAACCAACUCGAUAUCCUAUUGACCAAAAUCAUCGUCUUGCUCUUGAUGAUGGUCCUAUGUAUUCUGAUCCUGUACGGUAUCGCAGGCUCAUUGGUCGCUUAAUUUAUUUGACUAUUACUCGUCCCGAGCUUUGUUAUUCAGUUCAUGUUCUGGCUCAAUUUAUGUAAUGUCCUCGUGAGAUUCAUUGGGAGGCCGCUACUCGUGUCUUGCGCUAUCUAAAAGGUCACCCAAGUCAAGGUAUUUUCUUACGACGGAAUAGUGCCCUUCAACUUAUUGCCUAUUGUGACUCGGAUUGGGGCGCUUGUCCUCUUACCCGUCCUUCUCUUACUGGUUAUUUCAUUUUUUUGGGUGGUUCUCCCAUUUCCUGGAAGACAAUAAAACAACAUAUUGUCUCUCGUUCUUCGGCUGAAGCAGAGUAUCGGUCUAUGGCUUUCACUUGUUGUGAAUUAAGUUGGUUGAAGGCUUUGUUAAAGUCUCUUGGUGUUUCGCAUUCUCUACCAAUGCGUCUUUACUAUGAUAGUCAGGCAGCGCUUUAUAUUGCUGCCAAUCCUGUUUUUCAUGAGCGCACUAAGCACAUUGAAAUUGAUUGCCACUAUAUGCCGCACCAAAUCCAUGCUGGUAAUAUUGCUGCUUCUCAUGUUCGUACUUCAGAGCAACUUGCAGACAUUUUCACAAAGGCGCUUGGUCGACACUAGUUUGAGAAUAUCCUUCGCAAGUUGGGCAUUCGUGAUCUUCAUGCUCCAACUUGAGGGGGAGUAUUGGGAACGUGUGCAUAGAGCAACUAACAUGUGCAUGUGCAGUAACUAAUGUGUGCAUGGAGCAACUAACGUGUGCAUGUGCAGUAACUGUUGUAAUAUUCUCUUUUUAUAGCAUUUGUAUUCCAUUAGGAAUAGAAUGAGCAGCUUUUGUAUUCCAUUAGGAAUAAAAGGAGACUAUUUAGAGAUUUCGUAGCUAUCUUUGAUUUUGGGGUAUAGGUGUAUAUAUGAAUAACCGUGUGAUAUACAAUAAACAUACAGAUUUCUUCCACUCUCAGAAACAUUUUCACAAAAUUUCUUUUUCUCAUCAAUUGGAAGAUUAAAGAAGUCUUGAAUCUUGCUUUCACUUUCUCCACCAAUGAACUGCUCACUCCAUGAUUCAUCAACUGCAUAUAUGCAGAUUAAAACAAGAUGUUCUUUCCAUACAUGGUUCUUAUAGGAAACUUAAAGCUCAGGAAAUAAAAUGAUUUUUAUGGAAAAUGCUAAAAACACCGAGAGCCGAAAGAACGCUAACAAAAGUAAUGAUUUGCAAUCAAGUAAGUAUUUUUAUUAUCUGAAUAUCACUGCUCAAUUAUUAUGUACCUGAAAGAAACCCCAGUCUUUACAUGCAUGG
RNAcentral lists this long non-coding RNA (5744 nucleotides) under Citrus x clementina. RNAcentral's name for it is "Citrus clementina (C. clementina) long non-coding RNA (CCLE_LNC002896)". The record is from RNAcentral. Lineage: Eukaryota; Viridiplantae; Streptophyta; Magnoliopsida; Sapindales; Rutaceae.